UGAAAUAGAGCACUUAAGCACAAAAAAGCAGAGACUAUAUCUCGUACCUUUUGCAUCAUGAUCUAACCAGUACCUUCAAGCAAAGAGACCUCUAGUUUGAAACCCCGAAACCAAGACGAGCUACUCCGGGACAGCCUCUAUGGGCCAACCCGUCUCUGUAGCAAAAGAGUGGGAAGAUCCCCGAGUAGAAGUGAAAUACCUAUCGAGUCUGGUUAUAGCUGGUUGCCUGAGAAAUGAAUAGAAGUUCAGCCUCAACACACCCCUCUGCCCAAAAUUAAAGUCUAACAAGACAUAACAAGGCAAAUAGGGAUUUGGACGAGAGUUAGUUGAGGGAGGUACAGCUCCCUUAACAAAGGAUACAACCUUGAACAGGAGAUUAAAGAACAAAUUUUAACAAGAUAAAAGGUUUUAGUGGGCCUAAAAGCAGCCAUCUAAACAGAAAGCGUUAAAGCUCAGACCAAAUAUUUAAAUCUAAAAUACCGUUAAGACCUCUAAUAUCCCUAAUUAUAUUAGGCCUCCCUAUACUUUUUAUAGAAGAGAUAAUGCUAGAACGAGUAAUAAGAAGAAUGAACUUCUCCUUGCACAAGUGUAAGUCGGAUCGGACACACCACCGACAACUAACGAACCCAACAACAGAGGGCCCUACAUAUCAGCCUUUCCGGCCAAGAAAAACAUGUAUUUUCCCAUCGUUACCCCUACACAGGAGUGCUAGAUUAAGGAAAGACUAAAAGGAUAAAAAGGAACUCGGCAAACCCAAACCCCGCCUGUUUACCAAAAACAUCGCCUUCUGAAAUUUUUUAUAUAGGAGGUCCCGCCUGCCCUGUGACCAAGUGUUUAACGGCCGCGGUAUUUUAACCGUGCGAAGGUAGCGCAAUCAAUUGUCUUUUAAAUGGAGACCUGUAUGAAUGGCAUAACGAGGGUUUAACUGUCUCUUUAUCCCUGUCAAUGAAACUGAUCUACCCGUGCAGAAGCGGGUAUAAGAAUACAAGACGAGAAGACCCUAUGGAGCUUUAGACGCCCACCACCCAUAAUCCAGCAGACCUUUUCUAAAGGUCCUUAAUAUAAUGGACUUGGCACAAACGUCUUCGGUUGGGGCGACCGCGGGAGAAAAGAAAGCUCCCAAGUGGAUUGGGUUAUUCCUAAAACCCAGAGCCGCACCUCUAAGUCACAAAACAUUUGACCAAAAAUGAUCCGGCUUCCUGCCGAUCAACGGACCAAGUUACCCUAGGGAUAACAGCGCAAUCCCCUCCCAGAGUUCAUAUCGACGAGGGGGUUUACGACCUCGAUGUUGGAUCAGGACAUCCUAAUGGUGCAGCCGCUAUUAA
Molecule: ribosomal RNA, 1325 nt
Filed under: Etrumeus teres (red-eye round herring)
Lineage: Eukaryota; Metazoa; Chordata; Actinopteri; Clupeiformes; Dussumieriidae
Description: partial 16S ribosomal RNA
Rfam family: Bacterial large subunit ribosomal RNA
Source: RNAcentral